This is a long non-coding RNA of Grus americana (Whooping crane), 185 nucleotides long. RefSeq lists it as uncharacterized. NCBI's taxonomy places the organism in Eukaryota, Metazoa, Chordata, Aves, Gruiformes, Gruidae. The record is from RefSeq and is a predicted model, not a curated record. The transcript has 3 exons.
GCCCAUCUGGUCGCUGGGGGCAGGGGGGGGACACACGGGGACACUUGGGGACACCAAAGCGUGCCCACCCCCACGGGGACACCGAGGUUUGGGGGAGCCCCGGGGACGGGGGACCCCUGGGGACACCGAGGUUUGGGGGAUCCCUGGGGACACUGAGGUUUGGGGGAGCCCCGGGGACAGGGGAC